This 511-nucleotide ribosomal RNA is filed under the name uncultured bacterium. RNAcentral describes it as "bacterial SSU rRNA". It matches the Rfam family "Bacterial small subunit ribosomal RNA", at positions 791 to 1319 of the family's 1533-position model. The record is from RNAcentral.
UAGUCCACGCCGUAAACGAUGAAUGUUAGAUGUCGGGAUAUUAAUAUUUCGGUGUCGCAGCUAACGCAUUAAACAUUCCGCCUGGGGAGUACGGUCGCAAGAUUAAAACUCAAAGGAAUUGACGGGACCCGCACAAGCGGUGGAGUAUGUGGUUUAAUUCGAAGCAACGCGCAGAACCUUACCAACCUUUGACAUGUUACGUAUGGGAUUUAGAGAUAGAUUCCUUCAGCUUGGCUGGCGUAAACACAGGUGCUGCAUGGCUGUCGUCAGCUCGUGUCGUGAGAUGUUGGGUUAAGUCCCGCAACGAGCGCAACCCUCGCCUUUAGUUGCCAGCAUUUAGUUGGGCACUCUAGAGGAACCGCCGGUGAUAAGCCGGAGGAAGGUGGGGAUGACGUCAAGUCCUCAUGGCCCUUACGUGGGUGGGGCUACACACGUGCUACAAUGGCGCUAACAUGGGGUUAAUCCCCAAAAGGCGUCUCAGUUCGGGAUUGUCUUCUGCAACUCGAAGGGC